AAGUCUGACGCAGCAACGCCGCGUGAGGGAUGAAGGCCUUCGGGUUGUAAACCUCUUUUCUCAGGGAAGAUAAUGACGGUACCUGAGGAAUAAGCCACGGCUAACUACGUGCCAGCAGCCGCGGUAAUAA
This 130-nucleotide ribosomal RNA is filed under the name uncultured bacterium. RNAcentral describes it as "partial 16S ribosomal RNA". It matches the Rfam family "Bacterial small subunit ribosomal RNA", at positions 379 to 526 of the family's 1533-position model. The record is from RNAcentral.